Oreochromis niloticus (Nile tilapia) is the source of this 10096-nucleotide long non-coding RNA. RefSeq lists it as uncharacterized. The transcript has 56 exons. NCBI's taxonomy places the organism in Eukaryota, Metazoa, Chordata, Actinopteri, Cichliformes, Cichlidae. The record is from RefSeq and is a predicted model, not a curated record.
GGCGGUGCUCACAGCCCUCCGCCUCUGGGAGUGGCCCAUUUCUACUAAGGAGGCAAGAGGUGGCCAGGAGUCUGUCAGCGAGUUCUGCAUGUCCUGGUGACCCUCCACCUGUUUCACAGUGUCACAGGGGAACUCGAGCCUAUCCCAGCUAUCUUAGGGCGAGAAGCAGGGUACACCCUCCACAGGUCACCAGUCUGUUGCAGAGCUAACACAUAGACACAGAAAACCAUUCGCACCUGUGGGCGAUUUAGACUUUUCAACUAACCUCUUGCCACUAACUGCAGGUCGUUGGACUGUGGCAGGAAGCCGGAGUACAAGGAAAGAACCCACGCAAAAACAGGAAGAACAUGCAAACUCCACACAGAACCACGGUAGAGCUAAACUCAAGACCUUCUUCCUGUGCGGUAACGGUGCUAACCACUGUGCCGCCCGCAUAAGAGGAGAGCCACUGAGGGAACGCCUUCCGCCCUUCCGACGCCUCCACCGUGACUCCACUUCUGAGAGGAAUUGCCUACAGAUCAAGCAUGGAGUGUGCCUGAAUGGACAUACAGAACUCCAAGGUUCGGCCCGGUGUUGAGGGUUUUCCCAAAGGUGAGGGCCCGGCGGGCGGUGCCUCACAGCCCUCCGCCUCUGGGAGUGGCCCAUUUCUACUAAGGAGGCAAGAGGUGGCCAGGAGUCUGUCAGCGAGUUCUGCAUGUCCUGGUGACCCUCCACCUGUUUCACAGUGUCACAGGGGAACUCGAGCCUAUCCCAGCUAUCUUAGGGCGAGAAGCAGGGUACACCCUCCACAGGUCGUUGGACUGUGGCAGGAAGCCGGAGUACAAGGAAAGAACCCACGCAAAAACAGGAAGAACAUGCAAACUCCACACAGAACCACGGUAGAGCUGAACUCAAGACCUUCUUCCUGUGCGGUAACGGUGCUAACCACUGUGCCGCCCGCAUAAGAGGAGAGCCACUGAGGGAACGCCUUCCGCCCUUCCGACGCCUCCACCGUGACUCCACUUCUGAGAGGAAUUGCCUACAGAUCAAGCAUGGAGUGUGCCUGAAUGGACAUACAGAACUCCAAGGUUCGGCCCGGUGUUGAGGGUUUUCCCAAAGGUGAGGGCCCGGCGGGCGGUGCCUCACAGCCCUCCGCCUCUGGGAGUGGCCCAUUUCUACUAAGGAGGCAAGAGGUGGCCAGGAGUCUGUCAGCGAGUUCUGCAUGUCCUGGUGACCCUCCACCUGUUUCACAGGUCGUUGGACUGUGGCAGGGAGCCGGAGUACAAGGAGAGAACCCACGCAAAACCGGGGAGAACAUGCCAACUCCACACAGAACGAUGGUAGAGCUGAACUCAGGACCUUCUUCCGGUUGGGUAACGGUGCUAACCAGUGUGCUGCCCUGGUAAGAGGAGAGCCACUGAGGGAACGCCUUCCGCCCUCCGACGCCUCCACCGUGACCUCCACUUCUGAGAGGAAUUGCCUACAGAUCAAGUAUGGAGUGUGCCUGAAUGGACAUACAGAACUCCAAGGUUCGGCCCUGCGUUGAGGGUUUUCCCAAAGGAGAGGGCCCGGCGGGCGGUGCCUCACGGCCCUCCGCCUGUGGGAGUGGCCCUUUCUACUAAGGAGGCAAGAGGUGGCCAGGAGUCUGUCAGCGAGUUCUGCAUGUCCUGGUGACCCUCCACCUGUUUCACAGUGUCACAGGGGAACUCGAGCCUAUCCCAGCUAUCUUAGGGCGAGAAGCAGGGUACACCCUCCACAGGUCACCAGUCUGUUGCAGAGCUAACACAUAGACACAGAAAACCAUUCGCACCUGUGGGCGAUUUAGACUUUUCAACUAACCUCUUGCCACUAACUGCAGGUCGUUGGACUGUGGCAGGAAGCCGGAGUACAAGGAAAGAACCCACGCAAAAACAGGAAGAACAUGCAAACUCCACACAGAACCACGGUAGAGCUAAACUCAAGACCUUCUUCCUGUGCGGUAACGGUGCUAACCACUGUGCCGCCCGCAUAAGAGGAGAGCCACUGAGGGAACGCCUUCCGCCCUUCCGACGCCUCCACCGUGACUCCACUUCUGAGAGGAAUUGCCUACAGAUCAAGCAUGGAGUGUGCCUGAAUGGACAUACAGAACUCCAAGGUUCGGCCCGGUGUUGAGGGUUUUCCCAAAGGUGAGGGCCCGGCGGGCGGUGCCUCACAGCCCUCCGCCUCUGGGAGUGGCCCAUUUCUACUAAGGAGGCAAGAGGUGGCCAGGAGUCUGUCAGCGAGUUCUGCAUGUCCUGGUGACCCUCCACCUGUUUCACAGUGUCACAGGGGAACUCGAGCCUAUCCCAGCUAUCUUAGGGCGAGAAGCAGGGUACACCCUCCACAGGUCGUUGGACUGUGGCAGGAAGCCGGAGUACAAGGAAAGAACCCACGCAAAAACAGGAAGAACAUGCAAACUCCACACAGAACCACGGUAGAGCUAAACUCAAGACCUUCUUCCUGUGCGGUAACGGUGCUAACCACUGUGCCGCCCGCAUAAGAGGAGAGCCACUGAGGGAACGCCUUCCGCCCUUCCGACGCCUCCACCGUGACUCCACUUCUGAGAGGAAUUGCCUACAGAUCAAGCAUGGAGUGUGCCUGAAUGGACAUACAGAACUCCAAGGUUCGGCCCGGUGUUGAGGGUUUUCCCAAAGGUGAGGGCCCGGCGGGCGGUGCCUCACAGCCCUCCGCCUCUGGGAGUGGCCCAUUUCUACUAAGGAGGCAAGAGGUGGCCAGGAGUCUGUCAGCGAGUUCUGCAUGUCCUGGUGACCCUCCACCUGUUUCACAGUGUCACAGGGGAACUCGAGCCUAUCCCAGCUAUCUUAGGGCGAGAAGCAGGGUACACCCUCCACAGGUCGUUGGACUGUGGCAGGAAGCCGGAGUACAAGGAAAGAACCCACGCAAAAACAGGAAGAACAUGCAAACUCCACACAGAACCACGGUAGAGCUAAACUCAAGACCUUCUUCCUGUGCGGUAACGGUGCUAACCACUGUGCCGCCCGCAUAAGAGGAGAGCCACUGAGGGAACGCCUUCCGCCCUUCCGACGCCUCCACCGUGACUCCACUUCUGAGAGGAAUUGCCUACAGAUCAAGCAUGGAGUGUGCCUGAAUGGACAUACAGAACUCCAAGGUUCGGCCCGGUGUUGAGGGUUUUCCCAAAGGUGAGGGCCCGGCGGGCGGUGCCUCACAGCCCUCCGCCUCUGGGAGUGGCCCAUUUCUACUAAGGAGGCAAGAGGUGGCCAGGAGUCUGUCAGCGAGUUCUGCAUGUCCUGGUGACCCUCCACCUGUUUCACAGUGUCACAGGGGAACUCGAGCCUAUCCCAGCUAUCUUAGGGCGAGAAGCAGGGUACACCCUCCACAGGUCGUUGGACUGUGGCAGGAAGCCGGAGUACAAGGAAAGAACCCACGCAAAAACAGGAAGAACAUGCAAACUCCACACAGAACCACGGUAGAGCUGAACUCAAGACCUUCUUCCUGUGCGGUAACGGUGCUAACCACUGUGCCGCCCGCAUAAGAGGAGAGCCACUGAGGGAACGCCUUCCGCCCUUCCGACGCCUCCACCGUGACUCCACUUCUGAGAGGAAUUGCCUACAGAUCAAGCAUGGAGUGUGCCUGAAUGGACAUACAGAACUCCAAGGUUCGGCCCGGUGUUGAGGGUUUUCCCAAAGGUGAGGGCCCGGCGGGCGGUGCCUCACAGCCCUCCGCCUCUGGGAGUGGCCCAUUUCUACUAAGGAGGCAAGAGGUGGCCAGGAGUCUGUCAGCGAGUUCUGCAUGUCCUGGUGACCCUCCACCUGUUUCACAGGUCGUUGGACUGUGGCAGGAAGCCGGAGUACAAGGAAAGAACCCACGCAAAAACAGGAAGAACAUGCAAACUCCACACAGAACCACGAAGAGGAGAGCCACUGAGGGAACGCCUUCCGCCCUUCCGACGCCUCCACCGUGACUCCACUUCUGAGAGGAAUUGCCUACAGAUCAAGCAUGGAGUGUGCCUGAAUGGACAUACAGAACUCCAAGGUUCGGCCCGGUGUUGAGGGUUUUCCCAAAGGUGAGGGCCCGGCGGGCGGUGCCUCACAGCCCUCCGCCUCUGGGAGUGGCCCAUUUCUACUAAGGAGGCAAGAGGUGGCCAGGAGUCUGUCAGCGAGUUCUGCAUGUCCUGGUGACCCUCCACCUGUUUCACAGUGUCACAGGGGAACUCGAGCCUAUCCCAGCUAUCUUAGGGCGAGAAGCAGGGUACACCCUCCACAGGUCGUUGGACUGUGGCAGGAAGCCGGAGUACAAGGAAAGAACCCACGCAAAAACAGGAAGAACAUGCAAACUCCACACAGAACCACGGUAGAGCUAAACUCAAGACCUUCUUCCUGUGCGGUAACGGUGCUAACCACUGUGCCGCCCGCAUAAGAGGAGAGCCACUGAGGGAACGCCUUCCGCCCUUCCGACGCCUCCACCGUGACUCCACUUCUGAGAGGAAUUGCCUACAGAUCAAGCAUGGAGUGUGCCUGAAUGGACAUACAGAACUCCAAGGUUCGGCCCGGUGUUGAGGGUUUUCCCAAAGGUGAGGGCCCGGCGGGCGGUGCCUCACAGCCCUCCGCCUCUGGGAGUGGCCCAUUUCUACUAAGGAGGCAAGAGGUGGCCAGGAGUCUGUCAGCGAGUUCUGCAUGUCCUGGUGACCCUCCACCUGUUUCACAGUGUCACAGGGGAACUCGAGCCUAUCCCAGCUAUCUUAGGGCGAGAAGCAGGGUACACCCUCCACAGGUCGUUGGACUGUGGCAGGAAGCCGGAGUACAAGGAAAGAACCCACGCAAAAACAGGAAGAACAUGCAAACUCCACACAGAACCACGGUAGAGCUGAACUCAAGACCUUCUUCCUGUGCGGUAACGGUGCUAACCACUGUGCCGCCCGCAUAAGAGGAGAGCCACUGAGGGAACGCCUUCCGCCCUUCCGACGCCUCCACCGUGACUCCACUUCUGAGAGGAAUUGCCUACAGAUCAAGCAUGGAGUGUGCCUGAAUGGACAUACAGAACUCCAAGGUUCGGCCCGGUGUUGAGGGUUUUCCCAAAGGUGAGGGCCCGGCGGGCGGUGCCUCACAGCCCUCCGCCUCUGGGAGUGGCCCAUUUCUACUAAGGAGGCAAGAGGUGGCCAGGAGUCUGUCAGCGAGUUCUGCAUGUCCUGGUGACCCUCCACCUGUUUCACAGGUCGUUGGACUGUGGCAGGAAGCCGGAGUACAAGGAAAGAACCCACGCAAAAACAGGAAGAACAUGCAAACUCCACACAGAACCACGAAGAGGAGAGCCACUGAGGGAACGCCUUCCGCCCUUCCGACGCCUCCACCGUGACUCCACUUCUGAGAGGAAUUGCCUACAGAUCAAGCAUGGAGUGUGCCUGAAUGGACAUACAGAACUCCAAGGUUCGGCCCGGUGUUGAGGGUUUUCCCAAAGGUGAGGGCCCGGCGGGCGGUGCCUCACAGCCCUCCGCCUCUGGGAGUGGCCCAUUUCUACUAAGGAGGCAAGAGGUGGCCAGGAGUCUGUCAGCGAGUUCUGCAUGUCCUGGUGACCCUCCACCUGUUUCACAGUGUCACAGGGGAACUCGAGCCUAUCCCAGCUAUCUUAGGGCGAGAAGCAGGGUACACCCUCCACAGGUCGUUGGACUGUGGCAGGAAGCCGGAGUACAAGGAAAGAACCCACGCAAAAACAGGAAGAACAUGCAAACUCCACACAGAACCACGGUAGAGCUAAACUCAAGACCUUCUUCCUGUGCGGUAACGGUGCUAACCACUGUGCCGCCCGCAUAAGAGGAGAGCCACUGAGGGAACGCCUUCCGCCCUUCCGACGCCUCCACCGUGACUCCACUUCUGAGAGGAAUUGCCUACAGAUCAAGCAUGGAGUGUGCCUGAAUGGACAUACAGAACUCCAAGGUUCGGCCCGGUGUUGAGGGUUUUCCCAAAGGUGAGGGCCCGGCGGGCGGUGCCUCACAGCCCUCCGCCUCUGGGAGUGGCCCAUUUCUACUAAGGAGGCAAGAGGUGGCCAGGAGUCUGUCAGCGAGUUCUGCAUGUCCUGGUGACCCUCCACCUGUUUCACAGUGUCACAGGGGAACUCGAGCCUAUCCCAGCUAUCUUAGGGCGAGAAGCAGGGUACACCCUCCACAGGUCGUUGGACUGUGGCAGGAAGCCGGAGUACAAGGAAAGAACCCACGCAAAAACAGGAAGAACAUGCAAACUCCACACAGAACCACGGUAGAGCUAAACUCAAGACCUUCUUCCUGUGCGGUAACGGUGCUAACCACUGUGCCGCCCGCAUAAGAGGAGAGCCACUGAGGGAACGCCUUCCGCCCUUCCGACGCCUCCACCGUGACUCCACUUCUGAGAGGAAUUGCCUACAGAUCAAGCAUGGAGUGUGCCUGAAUGGACAUACAGAACUCCAAGGUUCGGCCCGGUGUUGAGGGUUUUCCCAAAGGUGAGGGCCCGGCGGGCGGUGCCUCACAGCCCUCCGCCUCUGGGAGUGGCCCAUUUCUACUAAGGAGGCAAGAGGUGGCCAGGAGUCUGUCAGCGAGUUCUGCAUGUCCUGGUGACCCUCCACCUGUUUCACAGGUCGUUGGACUGUGGCAGGAAGCCGGAGUACAAGGAAAGAACCCACGCAAAAACAGGAAGAACAUGCAAACUCCACACAGAACCACGAAGAGGAGAGCCACUGAGGGAACGCCUUCCGCCCUUCCGACGCCUCCACCGUGACUCCACUUCUGAGAGGAAUUGCCUACAGAUCAAGCAUGGAGUGUGCCUGAAUGGACAUACAGAACUCCAAGGUUCGGCCCGGUGUUGAGGGUUUUCCCAAAGGUGAGGGCCCGGCGGGCGGUGCCUCACAGCCCUCCGCCUCUGGGAGUGGCCCAUUUCUACUAAGGAGGCAAGAGGUGGCCAGGAGUCUGUCAGCGAGUUCUGCAUGUCCUGGUGACCCUCCACCUGUUUCACAGUGUCACAGGGGAACUCGAGCCUAUCCCAGCUAUCUUAGGGCGAGAAGCAGGGUACACCCUCCACAGGUCGUUGGACUGUGGCAGGAAGCCGGAGUACAAGGAAAGAACCCACGCAAAAACAGGAAGAACAUGCAAACUCCACACAGAACCACGGUAGAGCUAAACUCAAGACCUUCUUCCUGUGCGGUAACGGUGCUAACCACUGUGCCGCCCGCAUAAGAGGAGAGCCACUGAGGGAACGCCUUCCGCCCUUCCGACGCCUCCACCGUGACUCCACUUCUGAGAGGAAUUGCCUACAGAUCAAGCAUGGAGUGUGCCUGAAUGGACAUACAGAACUCCAAGGUUCGGCCCGGUGUUGAGGGUUUUCCCAAAGGUGAGGGCCCGGCGGGCGGUGCCUCACAGCCCUCCGCCUCUGGGAGUGGCCCAUUUCUACUAAGGAGGCAAGAGGUGGCCAGGAGUCUGUCAGCGAGUUCUGCAUGUCCUGGUGACCCUCCACCUGUUUCACAGUGUCACAGGGGAACUCGAGCCUAUCCCAGCUAUCUUAGGGCGAGAAGCAGGGUACACCCUCCACAGGUCGUUGGACUGUGGCAGGAAGCCGGAGUACAAGGAAAGAACCCACGCAAAAACAGGAAGAACAUGCAAACUCCACACAGAACCACGGUAGAGCUAAACUCAAGACCUUCUUCCUGUGCGGUAACGGUGCUAACCACUGUGCCGCCCGCAUAAGAGGAGAGCCACUGAGGGAACGCCUUCCGCCCUUCCGACGCCUCCACCGUGACUCCACUUCUGAGAGGAAUUGCCUACAGAUCAAGCAUGGAGUGUGCCUGAAUGGACAUACAGAACUCCAAGGUUCGGCCCGGUGUUGAGGGUUUUCCCAAAGGUGAGGGCCCGGCGGGCGGUGCCUCACAGCCCUCCGCCUCUGGGAGUGGCCCAUUUCUACUAAGGAGGCAAGAGGUGGCCAGGAGUCUGUCAGCGAGUUCUGCAUGUCCUGGUGACCCUCCACCUGUUUCACAGUGUCACAGGGGAACUCGAGCCUAUCCCAGCUAUCUUAGGGCGAGAAGCAGGGUACACCCUCCACAGGUCGUUGGACUGUGGCAGGAAGCCGGAGUACAAGGAAAGAACCCACGCAAAAACAGGAAGAACAUGCAAACUCCACACAGAACCACGGUAGAGCUAAACUCAAGACCUUCUUCCUGUGCGGUAACGGUGCUAACCACUGUGCCGCCCGCAUAAGAGGAGAGCCACUGAGGGAACGCCUUCCGCCCUUCCGACGCCUCCACCGUGACUCCACUUCUGAGAGGAAUUGCCUACAGAUCAAGCAUGGAGUGUGCCUGAAUGGACAUACAGAACUCCAAGGUUCGGCCCGGUGUUGAGGGUUUUCCCAAAGGUGAGGGCCCGGCGGGCGGUGCCUCACAGCCCUCCGCCUCUGGGAGUGGCCCAUUUCUACUAAGGAGGCAAGAGGUGGCCAGGAGUCUGUCAGCGAGUUCUGCAUGUCCUGGUGACCCUCCACCUGUUUCACAGUGUCACAGGGGAACUCGAGCCUAUCCCAGCUAUCUUAGGGCGAGAAGCAGGGUACACCCUCCACAGGUCGUUGGACUGUGGCAGGAAGCCGGAGUACAAGGAAAGAACCCACGCAAAAACAGGAAGAACAUGCAAACUCCACACAGAACCACGGUAGAGCUGAACUCAAGACCUUCUUCCUGUGCGGUAACGGUGCUAACCACUGUGCCGCCCGCAUAAGAGGAGAGCCACUGAGGGAACGCCUUCCGCCCUUCCGACGCCUCCACCGUGACUCCACUUCUGAGAGGAAUUGCCUACAGAUCAAGCAUGGAGUGUGCCUGAAUGGACAUACAGAACUCCAAGGUUCGGCCCGGUGUUGAGGGUUUUCCCAAAGGUGAGGGCCCGGCGGGCGGUGCCUCACAGCCCUCCGCCUCUGGGAGUGGCCCAUUUCUACUAAGGAGGCAAGAGGUGGCCAGGAGUCUGUCAGCGAGUUCUGCAUGUCCUGGUGACCCUCCACCUGUUUCACAGGUCGUUGGACUGUGGCAGGAAGCCGGAGUACAAGGAAAGAACCCACGCAAAAACAGGAAGAACAUGCAAACUCCACACAGAACCACGAAGAGGAGAGCCACUGAGGGAACGCCUUCCGCCCUUCCGACGCCUCCACCGUGACUCCACUUCUGAGAGGAAUUGCCUACAGAUCAAGCAUGGAGUGUGCCUGAAUGGACAUACAGAACUCCAAGGUUCGGCCCGGUGUUGAGGGUUUUCCCAAAGGUGAGGGCCCGGCGGGCGGUGCCUCACAGCCCUCCGCCUCUGGGAGUGGCCCAUUUCUACUAAGGAGGCAAGAGGUGGCCAGGAGUCUGUCAGCGAGUUCUGCAUGUCCUGGUGACCCUCCACCUGUUUCACAGUGUCACAGGGGAACUCGAGCCUAUCCCAGCUAUCUUAGGGCGAGAAGCAGGGUACACCCUCCACAGGUCGUUGGACUGUGGCAGGAAGCCGGAGUACAAGGAAAGAACCCACGCAAAAACAGGAAGAACAUGCAAACUCCACACAGAACCACGGUAGAGCUGAACUCAAGACCUUCUUCCUGUGCGGUAACGGUGCUAACCACUGUGCCGCCCGCAUAAGAGGAGAGCCACUGAGGGAACGCCUUCCGCCCUUCCGACGCCUCCACCGUGACUCCACUUCUGAGAGGAAUUGCCUACAGAUCAAGCAUGGAGUGUGCCUGAAUGGACAUACAGAACUCCAAGGUUCGGCCCGGUGUUGAGGGUUUUCCCAAAGGUGAGGGCCCGGCGGGCGGUGCCUCACAGCCCUCCGCCUCUGGGAGUGGCCCAUUUCUACUAAGGAGGCAAGAGGUGGCCAGGAGUCUGUCAGCGAGUUCUGCAUGUCCUGGUGACCCUCCACCUGUUUCACAGGUCGUUGGACUGUGGCAGGAAGCCGGAGUACAAGGAAAGAACCCACGCAAAAACAGGAAGAACAUGCAAACUCCACACAGAACCACGAAGAGGAGAGCCACUGAGGGAACGCCUUCCGCCCUUCCGACGCCUCCACCGUGACUCCACUUCUGAGAGGAAUUGCCUACAGAUCAAGCAUGGAGUGUGCCUGAAUGGACAUACAGAACUCCAAGGUUCGGCCCGGUGU